CCCUUAGAUGUCCGGGGCCGCACGCGCGCUACACUGAAGGAAUCAGCGUGGCUUUCUCCCUGACCCGAAAGGGUUGGGAAACCCGUUGAAUCUCCUUCGUGAUAGGGAUUGGGGCUUGAAAUUGUUCCCCAUGAACGAGGAAUUCCCAGUAAGCGCGAGUCAUAAGCUCGCGUUGAUUACGUCCCUGCCCUUUGUACACACCGCCCGUCGCUACUACCGAUUGAACGGUUUAGUGAGGGCCUCGGAUUGGUCUCGGCCCGCUCUUUACCGGGCGGCGCCGUUGGUCGAGAAGCCGCUCGAACUUGAUCGUUUAGAGGAAGUAAAAGUCGUAACA
This 334-nucleotide ribosomal RNA is filed under the name uncultured eukaryote. RNAcentral describes it as "partial 18S ribosomal RNA". It matches the Rfam family "Eukaryotic small subunit ribosomal RNA", at positions 1470 to 1796 of the family's 1831-position model. The record is from RNAcentral.